Molecule: ribosomal RNA, 436 nt
Filed under: uncultured bacterium
Lineage: Bacteria
Description: partial 16S ribosomal RNA
Rfam family: Bacterial small subunit ribosomal RNA
Source: RNAcentral
AGCGAACGCUGGCGGCAGGCUUAACACAUGCAAGUCGAGCGGGCAUCCUUGUGGUGUCAGCGGCAGACGGGUGAGUAACGCGUGGGAACGUGCCCUUCGGUUCGGAAUAACUCAGGGAAACUUGAGCUAAUACCGGAUACGUGCGAGAGCAGAAAGGUUUAUCUGCCGAAGGAUCGGCCCGCGUCUGAUUAGCUAGUUGGUGAGGUUAUGGCUCACCAAGGCGACGAUCAGUAGCUGGUCUGAGAGGAUGAUCAGCACACUGGGGCUGAGACACGGCCCAGACUCCUACGGGAGGCAGCAGUGGGGAAUAUUGGACAAUGGGGGCAACCCUGAUCCAGUCAUGCCGCGUGAGUGAUGACGGCCUUAGGGUUGUAAAGCCCUUUUCUCCGGGACGAUAAUGACGGUACCGGAGGAAUAAGCCCCGGCUAACUUCGUG